RNAcentral lists this ribosomal RNA (468 nucleotides) under uncultured bacterium. RNAcentral describes it as "partial 16S ribosomal RNA". It matches the Rfam family "Bacterial small subunit ribosomal RNA", at positions 28 to 507 of the family's 1533-position model. The record is from RNAcentral.
GACGAACGCUGGCGGCGUGCUUAACACAUGCAAGUCGAACGGAAAGGCCCUGCUUUUGUGGGGUGCUCGAGUGGCGAACGGGUGAGUAACACGUGAGUAACCUGCCCUUGACUUUGGGAUAACUUCAGGAAACUGGGGCUAAUACCGGAUAGGAGCUCCUGCUGCAUGGUGGGGGUUGGAAAGUUUCGGCGGUUGGGGAUGGACUCGCGGCUUAUCAGCUUGUUGGUGGGGUAGUGGCUUACCAAGGCUUUGACGGGUAGCCGGCCUGAGAGGGUGACCGGCCACCUUGGGACUGCGGUACGGCCCAGACUCCUACGGGGGGCAACGGUGGGGAAUCUUGCCCAAUGGGCCGAAGCCUGAUGCGACAACGCCGCGUGCGGGAUGACGGCCUUCGGGUUGUAAACCGCUUUCGCCUGUGACGAAGCGUGAGUGACGGUAAUGGGUGAAGAAGCACCGGCUAACUUCGUG